Molecule: ribosomal RNA, 319 nt
Filed under: uncultured eukaryote
Lineage: Eukaryota
Description: partial 18S ribosomal RNA
Rfam family: Eukaryotic small subunit ribosomal RNA
Source: RNAcentral
CCCUUAGAUGUUCUGGGCCGCACGCGCGCUACAAUGGUCUUCGCAAACGGAUGCAUUCUCGAAGGAGAAUGCCAAUCUUGGAAUCUAUGCCUUGGUCGGGAUAGUUGCUUGCAAUUUUUCGACUCGAACCAGGAAUUCCUUGUAAUCGUGAUUCAUCACAUCACGAUGAAUACGUCCCUGCCCUUUGUACACACCGCCCGUCGCUCCUACCGAUCGAAGAGUUAGGUGAAUUGUUUUGAUCGAUAAGAUUUGACUAUGGUCAACUCUCGUUGUGAAAUUCUGUGAAUCUGACUGUUUAGAGGAAGGAAAAGUCGUAACA